RNAcentral lists this ribosomal RNA (569 nucleotides) under Pestalotiopsis sp. C64. RNAcentral describes it as "eukaryotic LSU rRNA". It matches the Rfam family "Eukaryotic large subunit ribosomal RNA", at positions 38 to 629 of the family's 3401-position model. Lineage: Eukaryota; Fungi; Ascomycota; Sordariomycetes; Amphisphaeriales; Sporocadaceae. The record is from RNAcentral.
GCAUAUCAAUAAGCGGAGGAAAAGAAUCCAACAGGGAUUGCGUUAGUAACGGCGAGUGAAGCGGCAACAGCCAAAUUUGAAAUCUGGCCCUCGGGUCCGAAUUGUAAUUUGUAGAGGAUGAUUUUGGUGCGGUAUCUUCCGAGUUCCUUGGAACAGGACGCCUUAGAGGGUGAGAGCCCCGUACGGUUGAAUGCCUAGCCUCUGUAAUUCUCCUUCGACGAGUCGAGUAGUUUGGGAAUGCUGCUCUAAAUGGGAGGUAAAUUUCUUCUAAAGCUUAAUAUUGGCCAGAGACCGAUAGCGCACAAGUAGAGUGAUCGAAAGAUGAAAAGCACUUUGAAAAGUGGGUUAAAUAGCACGUGAAAUUGUUGAAAGGGAAGGAUUUGUGACCAGACUUUUUCUGGGCGGAUCAUCCGGGGUUCUCUCCGGUGCACUUUGCCCAGUAAAGGCCAGCAUCGGUUUUCGGCGGCGGAUAAAUGCAGUAGGAAUGUGGCUCCCUACGGGGAGUGUUAUAGCCCAUUGUAUAAUACCGCUGCUGGGGACCGAGGUUCGCGCUUCUGCAAGGAUGCUGG